CCUAACUCGAAAUAUAUUCAGUUUGCCACCAGAGCUUGUCUGGAGCACAACUCGUUUCGGAAAUAAACAAAUUUCAAAAGGCACCCAAAAUUAAAAGUGAAGCAACGGAAAUUUAUUGGUUAACUUGGGUGAUGAUACACACCCAGACGCACACAUAAAAAGAGUCAUACUGCCAUGCAAGUUAAACAGAUGAAAGCCCUAUAUACACAUACAUACAUUUGAACGGACUGAGUGCAGUUGACACAGAUAUUAGCUGCUGCCCCGUCAAAAUGAACACAAUUGGAAACACCCAGACGCACACAUACAAAGAGUCAUACUGCCAUGCAAGUUAAACAGAUGAAAGCCCUAUAUACACAUACAUACAUUUGAACGGACUGAGUGCAGUUGAAGACACAGAUAUUAGCUGCUGCCCCGUCAAAAUGAACACAAUUGGAAACUAAUGAUGAUCGUUCCGCAUACCCUAGGUUUAGUUGACCGCCGCCUGGCCUUCUUUUUGCUAUAAGGGAAUUCAAAGCGAUGGUACCGGUCCCGCUGGACGAGAGGAUUGCAUCGCUUGAAUUAAAACUGUAAAUGCUGAUGAACCACACAUCCCAUUGAAUAUUAACCUUUCGCUUGUCCUUG
RNAcentral lists this small RNA (621 nucleotides) under Drosophila yakuba. RNAcentral describes it as "GE28478". Lineage: Eukaryota; Metazoa; Arthropoda; Insecta; Diptera; Drosophilidae. The record is from RNAcentral.